CAACAUGUUAGCUCAGAUAUAUAUUCUGUUAAGUUGAUUUCUAAAUGGUUAUACAAGUGUCCCCACUUGGAUAAUUAUGGCAUUUAUUCACAUGUUGAUACACCUUUGUCAAUUACCCGUAUAUAUAUAUGUUGAAUUACAUAUUAUUGUUGAGCAAGAUUAAAAACCUUCGGGUUUGGAACCAGGCAUGUAUGAACAUCCCUAUAUGGGAAAAUUUUUGCGCCCGAGGCGGAUAGAAUAAAACGAUGAAUUUCGUUCAGAGUUAUAUAGUAUUGAUCAAUACAGG
This 286-nucleotide long non-coding RNA is filed under the name Panax ginseng (ginseng). Its description in RNAcentral is "long non-coding RNA (PGIN_LNC002435)". The record is from RNAcentral. Lineage: Eukaryota; Viridiplantae; Streptophyta; Magnoliopsida; Apiales; Araliaceae.